UUGUGUUAAGGUGUCGGUGGUUUUGUUCACUUCCAAAGUUUCAGCGCUGAAUUCCUUCAUGCGCAUGCGUAGACAAUCGAGGCGCGUAUCGUGAUGGUCGAGUUGGUAUGCGAAUUCCUUGUGUCCCGGCCUACCAUUUGGGCGUACUCCUGUGUCAGACUGUUAGUACCGUAGUAGUACACUGUUAUUAGGGUACUGCUAGUACCACUCGAGUUACCAAUACUCUAUUCUUAUUCGCUUCACUGCCCGUCGGAAGAGUCCCUCCAGUAUAACAUUUGCGGGUAUCGGCGCACGGAGUGCAAAGAAGACCCUUUUGUGCUCGCACUCGUCGAAGACUGGCAAGCCUGCGUCGUUCAAAGGGAAGCAUGUAUGGUUACCGCGAGAUUGAAAACGUGCCAUGACGUUACUGAGAUUAAGCUGUUUGACGAGUGGCCCAGUUGGCGGAUAGGUGGCAUUGCCAGGACGCACACAGCAUGCCGACACGCCGAUCGGGCUUUCACCGAAGCAAAGGUGCUGGGAUCCUGGCCUCCCAGCUCAUCAAGUCCAGAAAGCCACGCGAGCCUUUCUACUGUUCCCGAAGGCGACAGACGAGAGCGACAUGGCGAGAGCGGCGGACUCGAGUCAACUCUUUUGUAAUCCGGUGGCAGCGAAUGGCGACCAUCUUAGCCGUACCAACUGAGGCAUACUACGACGCGUGGGUGGUGCGCGGAUGACGUCAAAGAGCAGCCAAUAUACGUCAGUUCAAGGUCAGCAGUUCAUCGCUUGUGUUCAUUCUUGUCCCGUCCUUGACGCUGUUCUGACUUUCCAUCGCCUUUCCUAUUUUGGGCCUGCUGGAUGAACUCAUAGGCACACACCGCCCUUAUCAC
Molecule: non-coding RNA, 866 nt
Organism: Dermacentor albipictus
Lineage: Eukaryota; Metazoa; Arthropoda; Arachnida; Ixodida; Ixodidae
Source: RefSeq, a predicted model, not a curated record